AUUCCAUUAAAUAUUAAUUUAUAUUAAAAAUUUAGAAAUUAAUAAAAUCCUUUUCCCAUCUAUUUCACACAUAAGCAAUUUCUUCUUGAACAGAAAUCAUAGCUGCUCUACUUACGUACGUACGGUAUCUUUCUUAACAUAAAAUUCAAUUGAAUUGAUAAGUGUAAUAAACGAAUGAAGUAAUCUCACGUUUUUUCUUUUUUUUUUUUCUAGUUAUCAGCAUAUUCUACAUUUGAAGAACUGUAAUGCCAUCAAAGUUUUCAUUUCAAAAUGAACAUGCAUGAUUAAUAUUGUAUGGAAUGAAAGAUAAAAAAUUUUAUCGCGAACAAAAAUGAAUAAAAAUCUAACGCUGAAUUGAUAAUCAAUUCAUCGAAUUUUAUUAUUCAUUCAAAUGCAUUAAUAUCAUUUUUCAAAAAAAUAAUUGCAAAUACAAUUCAUCAUAUUUCAUUUCUCUUAAUAAUCUCGAUAAGUUGGAAUAAUUCUCACAAAUGAAAUGGAAAUAAAAUAGAGCCCAUGCAUUUUGCCAACAAAUUAUUUUUUCUCGACUCGCUCAUUUCCCUUAAACAUUCAUUUUCUUGUAUACAAUUGAUUCUCUGCAGCCCAAAUCAAUUCCUUCUUUUCCUCCUCGAUCAUAAAGCGAAACGAUCUCAAAAAAAUUCCUGACGAACUGGCGAGCUCCGUCCACGUUUUCCUGGCAAACCACCGAAAAUAAUUCGAACUCCUCCUCCUCCUAGAACUCACCAUCACCUCGUAUAUCCGAUUUCGGGGUUGACACGCGUCAAGAGCACGCUUCGAAAAACUUUCUCGGCCUAUUACGUAACCCUUACAGGGCGUCAGCAAACACGAGCGACCGGUUCACGAAAUUCAUGCAUAAUAAUAAUCCAACGAUAUGGCCGGCCGUAGACGGCCUUCCCGGCUGUCGGCUCGAGGCUGCCCUGAUAUCUGUCCGCCGGAUUACUAUCAGAGCAUAAGAAUGGAAAGGGUAUGCUCGGCCGAGAGACGGAGAGGCGCCAUGACACGCGUGAUACGCGCGUAUAUAGGUUCGUUCUACCGUGACGGUGUUCGAUUAAAAUUCGAGAUACGAAACUGGUCCGCGGUCCCUGCGAACGUAAUAACUUAAACGUUAAUACGCGAAACCGUGGAAUGCGAGCCGUACCCUCGACCAGCGCUUGGACAGCCACGAUUUUACUGGCCUGGUGGUUGGAAAAAAUAGGGGAUCUAGCGAUGGGAUCAAGUAAAUUCCAAAUCCCAAAUAUCAUUGUUUGCAUUGUUUAAUAGCUGUAUUCCCCCGCUGACCUUUGAUAUUUCCUUGAAUAGAAUUAAUUAUUAAUUAAUAAUCUUUAAAUAAUUUUUCGAACUUGCGGAACUAAUGGAUACGAAAGAAUCUAAUUGUACAGCGAGCGUAAGAAUAUGUACCCCUCUUAUAAAAGAAAUAAGAAAUACCUCGAUACAGCUACGUUGGAUGAGUAAUACAACUAAACGGAAUUUUUAAGAUAAAAAUUUAAUUUUCUCAAUAUUUAUUUCAACUUGGCUAUUAUUAUGUGAGAAAUUUUAUUGAAAAUUAUUAAAUUAUAAAAUAUUUGUUAAAAAAAAUAUAACGACAAGCAGUUCACAUAUCGAUAAUCCGAUCAAAAUGACUCAUUUAUACAAAAGAAAGGAAACAUAAUCUAUAAAUACAUAA
Apis mellifera (honey bee) is the source of this 1681-nucleotide long non-coding RNA. RefSeq lists it as uncharacterized. The record is from RefSeq and is a predicted model, not a curated record. NCBI's taxonomy places the organism in Eukaryota, Metazoa, Arthropoda, Insecta, Hymenoptera, Apidae. The transcript is spliced from 3 exons.